This 72-nucleotide transfer RNA is filed under the name Bos taurus (domestic cattle). It matches the Rfam family "tRNA". From Rfam's summary of the family: Transfer RNA (tRNA) molecules are approximately 80 nucleotides in length. Lineage: Eukaryota; Metazoa; Chordata; Mammalia; Artiodactyla; Bovidae. The record is from Rfam by way of RNAcentral. RNAcentral also lists the same sequence under 4 other names.
UCCCUAGUAGCUCAGUUGGUAAAGAAUCUGCCUGUAAUUCAGAAGACCCCAGUUCAAUUCCUGGGUUGGGAA